GGGGUUGUGGCUCAGCGGUACAGCGCUCGCCUACUACUGAGUGGGAAGCCCUGCGUUCGAGUCUCUGCACCACA
Molecule: transfer RNA, 74 nt
Filed under: Marmota monax (woodchuck)
Lineage: Eukaryota; Metazoa; Chordata; Mammalia; Rodentia; Sciuridae
Description: tRNA.Ser
Source: RNAcentral